AGUGAACGCUGGCGGUAGGCCUAACACAUGCAAGUCGAACGGCAGCACAGUAAGAGCUUGCUCUUACGGGUGGCGAGUGGCGGACGGGUGAGGAAUACAUCGGAAUCUACUUUUUCGUGGGGGAUAACGUAGGGAAACUUACGCUAAUACCGCAUACGACCUACGGGUGAAAGCAGGGGAUCUUCGGACCUUGCGCGAUUGAAUGAGCCGAUGUCGGAUUAGCUAGUUGGCGGGGUAAAGGCCCACCAAGGCGACGAUCCGUAGCUGGUCUGAGAGGAUGAUCAGCCACACUGGAACUGAGACACGGUCUAGACUCCUACGGGAGGCAGCAGUGGGGAAUAUUGGACAAUGGGCGCAAGCCUGAUCCAGCCAUACCGCGUGGGUGAAGAAGGCCUUCGGGUUGUAAAGCCCUUUUGUUGGGAAAGAAAAGCAGCAGGUUAAUACCCCGCUGUUCUGACGGUACCCAAAGAAUAAGCACCGGCUAACUUCGU
Molecule: ribosomal RNA, 491 nt
Filed under: uncultured bacterium
Lineage: Bacteria
Description: partial 16S ribosomal RNA
Rfam family: Bacterial small subunit ribosomal RNA
Source: RNAcentral